This 84-nucleotide transfer RNA is filed under the name Methyloglobulus sp. RNAcentral's name for it is "tRNA-Leu". It matches the Rfam family "tRNA". Rfam says of the family: Transfer RNA (tRNA) molecules are approximately 80 nucleotides in length. The record is from RNAcentral. Lineage: Bacteria; Pseudomonadati; Pseudomonadota; Gammaproteobacteria; Methylococcales; Methylococcaceae.
GCCUCGGUGGCGAAAUUGGUAGACGCAAGGGACUUAAAAUCCCUCGACUUUACGGUCGUGCCGGUUCGACUCCGGCCCGAGGCA